GAUGAACGCUGGCGGCGUGCUUAACACAUGCAAGUCGAACGAUGAAGCCCAGCUUGCUGGGUGGAUUAGUGGCGAACGGGUGAGUAACACGUGAGUAACCUGCCCUUAACUCUGGGAUAAGCCUGGGAAACUGGGUCUAAUACCGGAUAGGAGCGUCCACCGCAUGGUGGGUGUUGGAAAGAUUUAUCGGUUUUGGAUGGACUCGCGGCCUAUCAGCUUGUUGGUGAGGUAAUGGCUCACCAAGGCGACGACGGGUAGCCGGCCUGAGUGGGUGACCGGCCACACUGGGACUGAGACACGGCCCAGACUCCUACGGGAGGCAGCAGUGGGGAAUAUUGCACAAUGGGCGCAAGCCUGAUGCAGCGACGCCGCGUGAGGGAUGACGGCCUUCGGGUUGUAAACCUCUUUCAGUAGGGAAGAAGCGAAAGUGACGGUACCUGCAGAAGAAGCACCGGCUAACUACGUG
This 466-nucleotide ribosomal RNA is filed under the name uncultured bacterium. RNAcentral's name for it is "partial 16S ribosomal RNA". It matches the Rfam family "Bacterial small subunit ribosomal RNA", at positions 28 to 507 of the family's 1533-position model. The record is from RNAcentral.